AGCUUUGCGCAGUGGCAGGAUCGUAGCCAAUGAGGUUUAUCCGAGGCGCGAUUAUUGCUAAUUGAACCUAGGCCACCUGGUCAGCCAGACCAGAAACUUGGUAAUGAUUCUGGACUC
RNAcentral lists this small nuclear RNA (117 nucleotides) under Rhinolophus ferrumequinum (greater horseshoe bat). RNAcentral's name for it is "U4 spliceosomal RNA (ENSRFEG00010021927.1)". It matches the Rfam family "U4 spliceosomal RNA". Rfam says of the family: U4 small nuclear RNA (U4 snRNA) is a component of the major U2-dependent spliceosome. The structure of U4 snRNA from yeast and human has been reported. The record is from Rfam by way of RNAcentral. Lineage: Eukaryota; Metazoa; Chordata; Mammalia; Chiroptera; Rhinolophidae.